Molecule: long non-coding RNA, 586 nt
Organism: Stegodyphus dumicola
Lineage: Eukaryota; Metazoa; Arthropoda; Arachnida; Araneae; Eresidae
Source: RefSeq, a predicted model, not a curated record
UACAAGCUCUUUAGCUCAUCCCAUUCGUAGUAUACGACCGCAUUUGAUAAGCCACCAUCUGAUUCAAAACACAUGUUUGAUACAUAUUCUGCAAUAGUUGGGACAAUGAUGUUUAGGUCUUCGUUUGUAUCAAAACAGAUUGACUUUCUAAUGAAUCGAAAGAAGUGUCCACAAUAUAUGGGAUGUACAAGCUCUUUAGCUCAUCCCAUUCGUAGUAUACUACUGCAUUUGAUAAGCCACCAUCUAAUUCAAAACACGUUUGAUUCAAAUUCUCCAAUAGUUGGGACUAUUGGAGAUGUUUAGAUCUUCGUUUGUAUCAAAACAGAUUGACUCCAUGGUGGACUUUCUAAUGAAUCAUAUGAAGUCUGCGCAAUAUAUUUGAUGUACAAGCUCUUUAGCUCAUCCCAUUUGUAGUAUACUACCACAUUUGAUAAGCCACCAUCUGAUUCAAAACACAUGUUUGAUACAUAUUCUCCUAUAGUUGGGACUAUGAUGUUUAGGUCUUUGUUUGUAUCGAAACAGAUUGACUCCGUGGUGGACUUUCUAAUGAAUCGAAUGAAGACUCCGCAAUAUAUUUGAUGUACAA